GGGUUCACACAAGCGGUGGAGGAUGUGGCUUAAUUCGAGGCUACGCGAAGAACCUUAUCCUAGAUUUGACAUGCUUGAGAAUCCCUAUGAAAAUAGAGAGUGCCCUUCGGGGAGCUCUUGCACAGGUGCUGCAUGGCUGUCGUCAGCUCGUGUCGUGAGAUGUCGGGUUAAGUCCCUUAACGAGCGAAACCCUUAUCUCUAGUUGCCAGCGGGUAAUGCCGGGGACUCUAACGGGACUGCCGGUGCAAACCGCGAGGAAGGUGGGGGAUGACGUCAAAUCAUCACGGCCCUUACGUCCUGGGCUACACACGUGCUACAAUGGCCGGUACAGAGGGCAGCCACACCGCGAGGGGGAGCG
This 358-nucleotide ribosomal RNA is filed under the name uncultured bacterium. Its description in RNAcentral is "bacterial SSU rRNA". It matches the Rfam family "Bacterial small subunit ribosomal RNA", at positions 917 to 1269 of the family's 1533-position model. The record is from RNAcentral.